UGUCGUGAUGCGGAUCAUUUUUAUGGUAAGACAUUACAAUAACACGUUUGUUGUUUCUCAGCAGCUACAGGCAUGUACUGCAUGCACUAUCCAGCACACCACAAACAAACUAACAAAACAAACAAAGGCCCGUAUAUUGACACGUUGUUGUCUUUUUUUCUUUCGUUUAUUACUACUGUACACUGUAUUUUAGAAUAAUACCACGAUGUACUACAGUCCCCAUAAUGCAUCAGGGAUAGGACUAGAACAUCUUCAGAUUGGUUACAAAUCAGACAGACAGACAGACAGACAGACAGACAGAUUCACACUCAGUUUCAUUCUCAACAUCAUCAUCAACAUCAUCAUCCUCAACAUCUUCAUCCUCAUCAACAUCUUCAUGAACAUCACCUUCAUCCUCAACAUCAUCUUCAUCAACAUCAUCAUCAUCUCAUCCCACAUUCCACAUGUCUAGACCUAUAGUGCAGAGAUCCCAGCCACUAUCUAUCAGUGAUGUGUAGUCAUGGAUACCAUAGGAAGCCAGGCUUCCCCAAAUAUUUGACCAAUAAAAAACAUUUAAAUGUAUCUUUCAUCUCUCUCUCUCUGUGUUCUCAUCAUUUUUCGUUUAUUCGCAAGUGGCUGAAUCUCACCGGAGAAAUCAUCUGAGCGAGAGGAACAGCGGCCCUCUGUGUAGUCCAUGUAUCUGAUGCUGUCUGGAACAAAAGAGUAUGAAGUGUUGCUGCCAUAGCAUUUGACUGAUUGAUGCCAGCAAGCAUUUGGCCUUCCUUGAUAAAAAAAAAAAUGAAUAAAAUAAUUAGCCAAUCAGCGUUAAGCUGAGCUCAACUGUGGGAUGUUCUGGUGCAGCAAACCCCCCAACCAAUCAAAUCACAUUCUAAGAAAAAAGUCAUUUUUGUUUCUGGCCUACUUGUGUUGAUAUCCUGCAGUAGCUAGCUUGCUAAAUCAGCCCUUCCCUAAGCCAUGGAUGGAGAUGGGGAUUUAGACUUGUGGUUUUGACUUAAAUCUCUCUACAGGCCAAUGAUUAUGAUGGCGAUUCUGAUCUAACCAUGAAUUAAUAUAUUGUACCACUGGCCUGAGACAAUUGAAGUUCAAGAUGUAGCCUAGUAGGCUCACAUUAACUAACUAGCUAACUAGCUAACUAAGCUGGCUCAUUGUUGCCCAUGCGAGGAAGUUAGCAUUCUAGCUAGGUAGCCUAUGACAAUAACAACUUAAAGAGUACUGUAUGACAGAGCCAUUGACUGUUUUGCCAAACAUGUAAGAGAGGAGGAUGGCAUUGGAGUUCAACUAAGCAUAUAUAGCCUUGUUGAUUUGAUGUGAAUGUUUCAGUUGAAAUGGUGCUGUAAUAGCGCCGUCAAUACUCUCCUUGUCUUUGUGCUGACUUGCGGUAACUCAGUGGUUCUAAAUCAGUAGUUGUUUAGUAAAACUGUCGAAAACAUUAACUUGUUGGACCAUGUUCCAGGUCAUGUAACUGUUUGUGACAUGCAAUAUUUGCUUUGUGGACUUCACCGGACAGAUGUUGCUCUCCGAGUUUUGUGAUGAAACAAACGUACAGUACCAGCCAAAAGUUUGAACACACCUACUUAUUCAAAGGUUUUUUUCUUAAUUUUUUACAAUUUUCUACAUUGUACAAUAAUAGUGAAGACAUCAAAAUGAUGAAAUAACACAUAUGGAAUCAUGUAGUAACCAGAAAAGUGUUAAACAAAUCAAAAUAUGUUAUAUUUUAGAUUCUCAAAGUAGCCACCCUUUGCCUUGAUGACAGCUUUGCAAACUCGUGGCAUUCUCUCAACCAGUUUCAUGAGUUAGUCACUUGGAAUGCAUUUAAAUAAACAGGUGUGCCUUGUUAAAAGUUAAAUAUUGGAAUUUAUUUCCAUCUUAAUGCGUUUGAGCCAAUCAGUUGUGUUGGCCCUAUUUGGUAAAAGACCAAGUCCAUAUUAUGGCAAGAACAGCUCAAAUAAGCAAAGAGAAAUGACAGACCAUCAUUGCUUUAAGAUAUGAAGGUCAGUCAAAGCGGAGUAACAUUUCAAGAACUUUGAAAGUUUCUUCAAGCGCAGUCACAAAAAACAUUAGGCGCUAUGAUGAAACUGGCUCUCAUGAGGACCGCCACAGGAAAGGAAGACCCAGAGUUACCUCUGCUGCAGAGGAUAAGUUCAUUAGAGUUAACUGCACCUCAGACUGCAGCUCAAAUAAAUGCUUCACAAAUAUCAAACUCAACUGUUCUGAAACCGCAGGAAUCGGGCCUUCAUGGUCGAAUUGCUGCAAAGAAACCACAACUAAAGGGACACCAAUAAUAAUAAGAGACUUGCUUUGGCCAAGAAACACGAGCAAUGGACAUUAGACCGACAUUAGACCAGUGUAUGUGUAUUUCCCUCCGUGAAGCAUGGAGGAGGAGGUGUUAUGGUGUGGGGUUGCUUUGCUGGUGACACUGUCAGUGAUUUAUUUAGAAUUCAAGGCACACUUAACCAGCAUGGCUACCACAGCGAUACGCAAUAUCAUUUGUUUUUCAACAGGACAAUGACCCAACACACUUCCAGGCUGUGUAAGGGCUAUUUGACCAAGAAGGAGAGUGAUGGAGCGCUGCAUCACCCGACCUCAACUCAUUUGAGAUGGUUUGGGAUGAGUUGGACCACAGAGUGAAGUAAAAGCAGCCAACAAGUGCUCAGCAUAUGUGGGAACUCCUUCAAGACUUUUGGAAAAGCAUUCCAAGUGUAGUUGGUUGAGAGAAUGCCAAGAGUGUUUAAAGCUGUCAUCAAGGCAGAAGGGUGGCUACUUUGAAGAAUCUCAAAUAUAAACUAUAUUUUGAUUUGUUUAACACUUUUUGGUUACUACAUUAUUUCAUGUGUUAUUUCACAGUUCUGAUAGAGUCACUAUUAUUCUACAAUGUAGAAAAUAGUAAAACAAACAAAGAAAAACCCAUGAAUGAGUAGGUGUGUCCAAACUUUUGACUGGUACUGUAUGUUUAGUUGAAUUUAUUCCGCCACUGUGAGACUGUUGUCUUUUUGUUGUCAUGGUCUUAUUGUAUAUCAUGGUGGAGUAAGAACUAAUGGGUUAUAGAGAAAUUAUCACAAUAUAGGUUUUAAUACGGAUUUUCUACUGGGCUAGCUUGUCCAGUGAUUUUACCCACACACCACUACUGCUAUCUAUAGGCCGUCUAUAGGCCGAGCGCAAACAAAAAUAAGUUGUUUACACAUGUUAAAGCGCACAAUGCAUUGUUGUUCAGCCUCAUGGCAGUUUAAAGGGGGUGUUGGUUUUGUAUACAGGGUUCAGAGGAGUCACAGAGCAAGAGAGAAUGGACCUGGUAGUUACGACCCUGGUGGUUACGACCCUGGUGGUUACGACCCUGGUGGUUACAACCCUGGUGGUUACAACCCUGGUGGUUACAACCCUGGUGGUUGUAACACAGGAAAUAAAACAAAUAUUCAAAACUCCUUGCACACAGAACACCCAGCUGGUGAUGGUGAUAUAACUGAGUAGAACAAUCCUUCUACACCAGACUGACAACAUUACCAACAUCCUUCUCCCUGGUAGUUCAAACCCUAACAUACACACGCUCACGUGAAGCCUUCCCUGGCCCUCUUGUCUUGACUGGCCGAUCAGAAGGGAUCUCACUGGGAGGCAGUGAUUCUGUGUGUCUGUGUGUGGGUGUGAUCAGGAGGUGGCUUUGGGGAAAGUUCAGAUGGAUAGUCUCCGAUACCUGUACCUCUGUGUUUUAAGAAUGGCAGGUUUACACAUGCCAUGCAUCUCAUUCUGUUUCUCUGUUUCUCACUACCAGUCUGCAACUAAAGUGUCUUCUGAUAUAUCCAGAAGUAUUCAACAGUAAUACAAACAAUUAGUUGAUAAAUAGUACAUGACAAAUACAUUAUCCGUGUGCAAAUCAGGGUAAACAUAUAUAUAUAUAUACAUUAUAUAGAAUAUUAACAACAAAAACACAACUUGCAAUAAAUAAUACAUAUUUAAAUACACAAAAUAAUACAUAGCAUAAAUAAUCUUUCAAAACGGAAAUAAACUGUAUAAAAAUAGUUGCUACAUAAUACCUAAAAUGUAGUAUUUUUCCCCAAUAAUAUUUUCCAUUCUGUGUUAGUGAAUGUAACUGACCACUGGACAGACCACAACAGAACAGACAUAUUGAGAUGAAGGUAUAUAGAAUUGAGAUGAAGGUAUAUAGAACUCGGCAACCCAUGUAGAUACAGUCAGACCUGGUUUCAAAUACUAUUUGAAAUCUUUUAAAUAUUUAUUUUAAUUCGCAUCAAGGCCAUCAUACCAGGCACACUGGACCCACUCCAGUUGACCAUUUCCAUCGCUCUUCACACGGCCCUAACACAUCUGGACAAGAGGAACACCUAUGUGAGAAUGCUGUUCAUUCACUACAGUUCAGCCUUCAACACUAUUGUUCCCUCCAAGCUCGACACCAAGCUCAGAGCCGUGGGUCUGGACACUACCCUCUGAAACUGGAUCCUGGACUUCCUGACGGGCAGACCACAGACUGUGAAUAUUGUCAACAACACCUCCUGCACACUGACUCUUAACACAGGGGCCCCCCAGGGGUGUGUCCUCAGCUCUUAACACAGGGGUCCCCCAGGGGUGUGUCCUCAGCUCUUAACACAGGGGCCCCCCAGGGGUGUGUCCUCAGCCCUCUGCUGAUCCACUAGUUCUUCAGCGUCCACAUCACAGAGGACUUGACAUGGACCAACACCACCACCACUCUAGUCAAGACAGCGUAACGGUGUCUCUACUUCCUAAGGCGGCUGUAGAAAUUCGACGUGCCACCCGGGGUCGUCUCCAAAUAUUACCGUUGCACCAUCGAGUGUCCUGACCGGUUGCAUUACAGCCCGGUUACGGGAAUUGUUCCGUCCACGACCGAAAGGCCCUCCAGCGGGGGGUGAAGACGGCCCAGUACAUCACUGGGAUUGUGCUCCCAUCCAUCCAGGACAUCUACUGGAAACGGUACCUGAUGAAGUCCCGCAGCAUCAUCAAGGACCCCACACACCCCAACAUGAGGUCACUUCCUGCCAUGAGCUGUUCAUUCCCUUACUGUUGGGCAGACGGUAUCAGAGCAUGAGGUCUGAUACCAACAGGUUCAGAGACAGUUUCUAUCUACAAGCCAUCAGACUGUAUCAGAGCAUGAGGUCUGAUACCAACAGGUUCAGAGACAGUUUCUAUCUACAAGCCAUCAGACUGCUGAACACUUGAACAAGACUGACCACCUGCACUCUCAGCACACACACACACACACACACACCUGUUGCUACCAGACUACAUACUGCACAAUUUAAACACUCCCCCCUCUCCAAAACACAUGUAAAAAUGGAACUAUAAAUGGUCCCUUCCUGUAUUAUACUGAUGCUAAAAUGUUUAUUCUACUGAGCCAUUUACUUUAUAUUCGUAUUCUUGUAUUAAUUAUUAUUGUUGUUGUCGAGAAGGCACCUGCAAGUAAGCAUUUCAUUGGAUGGUGUAUGCCAUGUAUAUCCUUGUACAUACGACCAAUAAAACAUGAAACUAGUGUUUUCUCUAGUCUACCUGGAGUGCCAGAUGGGUGGAGUUUGAACACUUGCAAUUCGUCUAUUGGUUCCAUUCUGCCAGACAAGCUCAAUCAAGCCCAGCUAAAGUAUUUGGAAGAUUUCAAGUAGUAUGUGAGCCCAUGUCUGAAUACAGUAAUACAAUAUGUUACAGCUCCAAAAUAACCCUUUCUCUCUCUCUGUAUAGAUCGAUGCAUAGAAAAGCACUGAAAAUAAAAUAAAAGUCCUGAUUUUAUUUUUUGCCAGACUUUUCCUAGUUCUCAGACACUAGUAGUUUGCUUUCAUAUCAGAUAACUUAUUUGAUGUAAACCAUGAGUUACUGCAUUAAAGUCAUCACACAUUAAAGCAUACAUUACUCUGAAAGCCAGCCGUGAAGUAGCCUUUGUCCCAGAACAGUUCGUCCUUCCAACUACUCCAUUGGUAUUGGUAUCCAUUCCAGAAGGAGUUGGCAAGAGAGCCGAAAACAGCCUGGCACUCAGACUAGCCUUGAAGUGCUCGGGUUGAAGCGUCCGCAUACAACAGGCAUGCUUGUUUGCGUCUGACUGUAGCAGCUGUUAUUCUAUAGUCAGGGUAAUAUACACACAUACAAGUACAACACAGAGCCUGCAGUAGGAAGUUUGAGGAUGACCUAUAAACCUUAACUCAUCUACUGACUGUAUAUCAGCAUGAUGCUGCUGUACGCUUCAUCUGAGGUUCUGAGUCAUGGCGUUUAAACCACUGCUAACAACACAGGGAUCGUGAUCCGCCCCCUGCCUACAGUACUCUGUCCAUUCCAUCUAGACCUGAGCAGAGACAUAUUUACAAAUAUGGAAAUAUAUAUCUCAGAGCCUGACAACACCACAGGACAUACUGGAAGCAAGAGAAGAAGUCAGCUGUUGUCUUUAUAGUGAGGACAUCAGGGUUGGGGUCAAUUUCAUUUCAUUUCAGUCAAUUCAGGAAGUAAACAGGAACUGAUCCUAACCCUUAUUAAGGAGGUGAAAGAAACAGCUGUCUGAUAUGUUAACCAGCUCAGAUAGCAACUAGGACUACUACACAACCACUAGAAGUAUGACACCAGCCAUAUAGUAAAAGUCGUAGGCCGUCACUGUAAAUAACUGACUUGCCUAGUUAAAUAAAAGGUUAAAAAAAUACAAAAUAAUAAUAAUAAUAAUAUGUGUUAUUUCAUUGUUUUCAUGUCUCACUAUUAUUCUACAAUGUAGAAAUAGUAAAAAAUAAAGAAAAACCAUUGAAUGAGAAGGUGUUCUAAGACUUUUGACUGGUACUGUACAUGAAUUGUACAGAGUGAAAAAUGUAAAGUAUGAGUAGGUUCAUUAGAAAUGUAUUAAGGCUAUGCCGUGUGCGUUUACUUCUAUCAAUCUUCAAUUGCAAGGUGGUUGUUAGGUCAGGUUAUUGUCUAUUUUCCAACAGAUUUAACCCAAAAUAGCCCUAAAAGAUCAUCUCAUUUACCCACCACUAAAGCCUCCAGGAAUGAGGAGGAGCAGCAGGAGUGCGCCCUAGUGGCCACACAGAACACCACACGCUCAUCCAAAAGGGUCAAAGGGCUCAGAGGAAGAGAAAGCUGCCAAUGCUAGUGGUUCAUUUACAGUUCUUUCUAUACCACUGUUCCUACACUCCCAUACAUAGCCUAUAUAGUACAGUACGUUAUAUUCAUAUCACCAACAAAUGAUUAAACAAACGGUUCAAGAGAGUAGACGGACAGU
Molecule: long non-coding RNA, 7207 nt
Filed under: Salmo salar (Atlantic salmon)
Lineage: Eukaryota; Metazoa; Chordata; Actinopteri; Salmoniformes; Salmonidae
Description: lncRNA (ENSSSAG00000117413.1)
Source: RNAcentral